Molecule: long non-coding RNA, 224 nt
Filed under: Gallus gallus (chicken)
Lineage: Eukaryota; Metazoa; Chordata; Aves; Galliformes; Phasianidae
Source: RNAcentral
AGAGAUUGGGUUUCUUGACCAGCAUCUCCUAGUACGUCUGCUGCAGCACAAAGGCCUCAGCAGUCAUUGGAAGGGAUGUGGCCAAAAACACUUUUCAGGACAGGAUGAAGGAUAUCAAGCUAGCAGACAGGAGCCCAAGACACUAACAGUCAACAACAACAGUCAACAGUCACAGUAUCACAGAAUCACUGAGGUUGGCAGGAGCCUCUGGAGAUCAUCUGGUC